ACACUCUUACGGGAGGCAGCAGUGGGGAAUUUUGGACAAUGGGCGAAAGCCUGAUCCAGCAAUGCCGCGUGAGUGAAGAAGGCCUUCGGGUUGUAAAGCUCUUUUGUCAGGGAAGAAACGGUGAGAGCUAAUAUCUCUUGCUAAUGACGGUACCUGAAGAAUAAGCACCGGCUAACUACGUGCCAGCAGCCGCGGUAAUACGUAGGGUGCAAGCGUUAAUCGGAAUUACUGGGCGUAAAGCGUGCGCAGGCGGUUUUGUAAGUCUGAUGUGAAAUCCCCGGGCUCAACCUGGGAAUUGCAUUGGAGACUGCAAGGCUAGAAUCUGGCAGAGGGGGGUAGAAUUCCACGUGUAGCAGUGAAAUGCGUAGAUAUGUGGAGGAACACCGAUGGCGAAGGCAGCCCCCUGGGUCAAGAUUGACGCUCAUGCACGAAAGCGUGGGGAGCAAACAGGAUUAGAAACCCGAGUAGUCCCAUGA
RNAcentral lists this ribosomal RNA (476 nucleotides) under uncultured organism. Its description in RNAcentral is "partial 16S ribosomal RNA". It matches the Rfam family "Bacterial small subunit ribosomal RNA", at positions 333 to 800 of the family's 1533-position model. The record is from RNAcentral.